CCUACGGGAGGCAGCAGUGAGGAAUAUUGGUCAAUGGCCGAGAGGCUGAACCAGCCAAGUCGCGUGAGGGAAGAAUGUCCUAUGGAUUGUAAACCUCUUUUGUCAGGGAGCAAAGUCACCCACGUGUGGGUGGUGGAGAGUACCUGAAGAAAAAGCAUCGGCGAACUCCGUGCCAGCAGCCGCGGUAAUACGGAGGAUGCGAGCGGUAGCCGGAUUUAUUGGGGUUAAAGGGGGCGUAGGCGGGGUAUGAAGUCAGCGGUAAAAUGGUGGAGCUAAAAUCCGUCCAGCCGUUGAAACUGUUGAUCUUGAGUGGGCGAGAAGUAUGCGGAAUGCGUGGUGUAGCGGUGAAAUGCAUAGAUAUCACGCAGAACUCCGAUUGCGAAGGCAGCAUACCGGCGCCCGACUGACGCUGAGGCACGAAAGCGUGGGUAUCGAACAGGAUUAGAUACCCCUGUAGUC
Molecule: ribosomal RNA, 459 nt
Filed under: uncultured bacterium
Lineage: Bacteria
Description: partial 16S ribosomal RNA
Rfam family: Bacterial small subunit ribosomal RNA
Source: RNAcentral